CCUACGGGUGGCAGCAGUGAGGAAUAUUGGUCAAUGGGCGCGAGCCUGAACCAGCCAAGUAGCGUGAAGGAUGACUGCCCUACGGGUUGUAAACUUCUUUUAUAAAGGAAUAAAGUGAGGCCCGUGUGCCUUUUUGUAGUUACUUUAUGAAUAAGGAUCGGCUAAAUCCGUGCCAGCAGCCGCGGUAAUACGGAGGAUCCGAGCUUUAUCCGGAUUUAUUGGGUUUAAAGGGAGCGUAGAUGGGUUGGUAAGUCAGUUGUGAAAGUUUGGGGCUAAACCGUAAAAUUGCAAUUGAUACUGGCAGUCUUGAGUACAGUUGAGGUAGGCGGAAUUCGUGGUGUAGCGGUGAAAUGCUUAGAUAUCACGAAGAACCCCGAUUGCGAAGGCAGCUUACUAAAGUGCAACUGACAUUGAUGCUCGAAAGUGUGGGUAUCAAACAGGAUUAGAUACCCGUGUAGUC
This 460-nucleotide ribosomal RNA is filed under the name uncultured bacterium. Its description in RNAcentral is "partial 16S ribosomal RNA". It matches the Rfam family "Bacterial small subunit ribosomal RNA", at positions 338 to 795 of the family's 1533-position model. The record is from RNAcentral.